Molecule: long non-coding RNA, 651 nt
Filed under: Homo sapiens (human)
Lineage: Eukaryota; Metazoa; Chordata; Mammalia; Primates; Hominidae
Description: non-protein coding MIR193BHG:3
Source: RNAcentral
GCGCGCUCUCUGCAGAAAAGGAUUUUCUACGCUCCCCGCCCAUCACUUGGAUCUCGUCUGGGGAGGGGCGGAUUUUUUUUCUGGAAGUACCCUUCUUCUCCACGGUGGAGGAUUUAAGGCUGGGCUCCAAUCGAGGCGGAGGCUGCAGGGCCCGCGGGGCGCCCCCCGCCCGGCGCACGCCUGCCCGGAGCCCGGGAAGGCGCAGCCCUGGGUGGGGGGGCCCGUGCACCCCCGGAGGCGGCAGCGGCGGUGAGUGCUCCCCUUCUUCCCGCCUGGCACCUUCCGCCAGCCAAGGCAGGGAUCGCGGCAGAUAAACCUGCCAGUAAUUUCAGCAAAUGAAACGUGGAACACGUCAAGGCCAGAGGAUGGAAAAGGCUCCAGUUUUGAUAAAAGGAGGCCUGCUUGGCUUGGAAUCCUCUCUCCUGCUGGUUGGGAGAUGCAAAGAUGUUUCCAGAGAGGGGCUGAUGAAUUGAGGGGAAAGAAAUGAGCCCAGUAUGAGUCCCCUUUCAGGGCUGAGCGUGUAUAAAACCAAACAACUUGGAACCGCUCCAAGAGAGGGGAUUAAAGCAACAUGUUAUUCUGAGUGAUUGCUUAAUUUAUUGAGCUGCGGCUGGAUCUGUAAUGAAAUACAGCCCUUGUAACUGAUAACCU